AUUAAGGCCUUUUUUGAGGCCACCUGUAGUGACCAAAACAUUUUG
Molecule: non-coding RNA, 45 nt
Organism: Manacus vitellinus (golden-collared manakin)
Lineage: Eukaryota; Metazoa; Chordata; Aves; Passeriformes; Pipridae
Source: Rfam